GUGGGGAAUCUUGCGCAAUGGGCGAAAGCCUGACGCAGCAACGCCGCGUGGAGGAAGAUAGGCCUUCGGGUUGUAAACUCCUUUCAGGAGGGACGAAGCUUCCAGGGUUAAUAGCCCAUGGGGUGACGGUACCUCCAGAAGAAGCCCCGGCUAACUACGUGCCAGCAGCCGCGGUAAUACGUAGGGGGCAAGCGUUGUCCGGAAUUAUUGGGCGUAAAGCGCGUGUAGGCGGCUUGGUAAGUCUGGUGUGAAAUCUUGGGGCUCAACCCCAAGCCUGCAUCGGAUACUGCCUGGCUAGAGUCCGGGAGGGGAGAGCGGAAUUCCCAGUGUAGCGGUGAAAUGCGCAGAUAUUGGGAAGAACACCGGUGGCGAAGGCGGCUCUCUGGAACGGUACUGACGCUGAGACGCGAAAGCGUGGGGAGCGAACAGGAUUAGAAACCCCAGUAGUCC
Molecule: ribosomal RNA, 450 nt
Filed under: uncultured bacterium
Lineage: Bacteria
Description: bacterial SSU rRNA
Rfam family: Bacterial small subunit ribosomal RNA
Source: RNAcentral